UACGUAGGGUGCAAGCGUUGUCCGGAAUUAUUGGGCGUAAAGAGCUUGUAGGCGGUUUGUCGCGUCUGCUGUGAAAUUUCGGGGCUCAACCCCGAACUUGCAGUGGGUACGGGCAGACUAGAGUGUGGUAGGGGAGACUGGAAUUCCUGGUGUAGCGGUGAAAUGCGCAGAUAUCAGGAGGAACACCGGUGGCGAAGGCGGGUCUCUGGGCCACUACUGACGCUGAGGAGCGAAAGCGUGGGGAGCGAACAGG
Molecule: ribosomal RNA, 253 nt
Filed under: uncultured bacterium
Lineage: Bacteria
Description: partial 16S ribosomal RNA
Rfam family: Bacterial small subunit ribosomal RNA
Source: RNAcentral